CCUACGGGUGGCAGCAGUGAGGAAUAUUGGUCAAUGGCCGGAAGGCUGAACCAGCCAUGCCGCGUGAAGGUCAGUUCCCUUUGGGCGUUAAACUUCUUUUGUGCGGGAGCAAUAAUGGUCACGUGUGGCCAGACGAGAGUACCGUACGAAUAAGCAUCGGCUAACUCCGUGCCAGCAGCUGCGGUAAUACGGGGGAUGCAAGCGUUAUCCGGAUUUAUUGGGUUUAAAGGGUGCGUAGGAUGGGAGGUAAGUCAGCGGUGAAAUGCCCCCGCUCAACGGGGUGAAGUGCCAUUGAUACUGCCUGGCUGGAAUGCGGAUGAGGUGGGAGGAAUGUGUGGUGUAGCGGUGAAAUGCAUAGAUAUCACACAGAACACCGAUUGCGAAGGCAUCUCACGAAUCCGCGAUUGACGCUGAUGCACGAAAGCGUGGGUAUCAAACAGGAUUAGAUACCCUGGUAGUC
RNAcentral lists this ribosomal RNA (460 nucleotides) under uncultured bacterium. RNAcentral describes it as "partial 16S ribosomal RNA". It matches the Rfam family "Bacterial small subunit ribosomal RNA", at positions 338 to 795 of the family's 1533-position model. The record is from RNAcentral.